This 253-nucleotide ribosomal RNA is filed under the name uncultured bacterium. Its description in RNAcentral is "partial 16S ribosomal RNA". It matches the Rfam family "Bacterial small subunit ribosomal RNA", at positions 524 to 776 of the family's 1533-position model. The record is from RNAcentral.
GACAGAGGGUGCAAACGUUGUUCGGAAUUACUGGGCGUAAAGCGCGUGUAGGCGGCAAGGCAAGUCGGAUGUGAAAGCCCACGGCUCAACCGUGGAAGUGCACCCGAAACUGCCUAGCUAGAGUCUCGGAGAGGAAGGUGGAAUGCUUGGUGUAGAGGUGAAAUUCGUAGAUAUCAAGCGGAACACCGGUGGCGAAGGCGGCCUUCUGGACGGUGACUGACGCUGAGACGCGAAAGCGUGGGGAGCGAACAGG